RNAcentral lists this ribosomal RNA (600 nucleotides) under Desmonostoc muscorum ISB102. RNAcentral describes it as "bacterial SSU rRNA". It matches the Rfam family "Bacterial small subunit ribosomal RNA", at positions 99 to 722 of the family's 1533-position model. The record is from RNAcentral. Lineage: Bacteria; Bacillati; Cyanobacteriota; Cyanophyceae; Nostocales; Nostocaceae.
CGGACGGGUGAGUAACGCGUGAGAAUCUAGCUUUAGGUUCGGGACAACCAUUGGAAACGGUGGCUAAUACCGGAUGUGCCGAAAGGUAAAAGGCUUGCUGCCUAGAGAUGAGCUCGCGUCUGAUUAGCUAGUUGGUAGUGUAAGGGACUACCAAGGCGACGAUCAGUAGCUGGUCUGAGAGGAUGAUCAGCCACACUGGGACUGAGACACGGCCCAGACUCCUACGGGAGGCAGCAGUGGGGAAUUUUCCGCAAUGGGCGAAAGCCUGACGGAGCAAUACCGCGUGAGGGAGGAAGGCUCUUGGGUUGUAAACCUCUUUUCUCAAGGAAUAAGUUCUGAAGGUACUUGAGGAAUAAGCAUCGGCUAACUCCGUGCCAGCAGCCGCGGUAAUACGGAGGAUGCAAGCGUUAUCCGGAAUGAUUGGGCGUAAAGCGUCCGCAGGUGGUGAUGAAAGUCUGCUGUCAAAGAAUCAGGCUUAACCUGAUAGAGGCAGUGGAAACUACAUGACUAGAGUGCGUUCGGGGCAGAAGGAAUUCCUGGUGUAGGGGAAAGGGGCGUAAAAAAAGAAGUUGUGAUCAUGUACAAUAAAGAAGUAAAGCA